This is a regulatory RNA element of 79 nucleotides. It matches the Rfam family "pemK RNA". The record is from Rfam.
ACAAUGAUACUUACGGUUUGAACGCUUCACAGCAUUGACCGUCGCGCCAUCAGCAUGGGGCGGGGUGAAAUUCCCAUGA